UUUGGGCCCCAUCUUCCCUCUUUCAGGCUCGUAUCACAGAAUCAUGGCUGUAAUGGAUGCAGCAUCCCAAGCCUUUCCAUCGACUCUGGCACAUACUCAGUGGAGCCCUUCCAUCUGCUUGAGAGCAGUGAAGAUUUUACAUCAGAAAACAGGACUCUGUGUGAUUGUGCUGAUACCAAUGGCUUUUCAGAGGAAGAUCUCCUGAAUGUAACGUUUGAAGCGUGUGACACUGCUGGCAAAGGAGAGGUUCAGGCCUCCACUGUGGUGCAGUAUCUUCAGUCCAUGACGUUCCAAAGCUCCGGCCAGGACAAGCUGACCAAUUUACGACAGAUGCUGGACCCAGAGAACCAGGAUCCACCUGUUAGUAGAGAUAC
This 374-nucleotide long non-coding RNA is filed under the name Sinocyclocheilus grahami. RNAcentral's name for it is "lncRNA (ENSSGRG00000014074.1)". Lineage: Eukaryota; Metazoa; Chordata; Actinopteri; Cypriniformes; Cyprinidae. The record is from RNAcentral.